Solanum stenotomum is the source of this 455-nucleotide long non-coding RNA. RefSeq lists it as uncharacterized. Lineage: Eukaryota; Viridiplantae; Streptophyta; Magnoliopsida; Solanales; Solanaceae. The record is from RefSeq and is a predicted model, not a curated record. The transcript is spliced from 3 exons.
GAUCAUUUUGAUGGUUAUGACUCAUACGAUGGCUGUGAUGGAUUCACCAUAUACUACAAGUUCAAUGGAGUUGAUGAUGAAGACAUUCUAGCAGGCAAUCUUACUGCCAACUGUUCACUUAUCAGAUUGCCAUAUUACCAAACAGAACCUGGUAAUAAUUUGGCCAACUUCUUACUUUCUGCAUUUCUAGUAGAAUGGAAAUUGUCUGAUGACUGUAACAAAUGUCACUAUGGUGGAGGUCGAUGUCAGACUGAUAAGAAGAACAAUUUUCUUUGUUACAAAGGAACAUCAAAAAGGGGUUACCUUCAGACUAUCUGGUUUAAAGUUGCCACAGAUGUUCUAUUGACAGUCUCUCUACCUCUUAGGUAGGGGUAAGGUCUGCGUACACCUACCUUCACCAGACUCUACUUUGUAGUAUUACACUGGAAAUAUUGUUGUUGUUGUAUUCUCUGAUG